GACGAACGCUGGCGGCGUGCUUAACACAUGCAAGUCGAACGGAAAGGCCCUGCUUUUGUGGGGUGCUCGAGUGGCGAACGGGUGAGUAACACGUGAGUAACCUGCCCUUGACGUUGGGAUAACUUCAGGAAACUGGGGCUAAUACCGGAUAGGAGCUCCUGCUGCAUGGGGGGGGUUGGAAAGUUUCGGCGGUUGGGGAUGGACUCGCGGCUUAUCAGCUUGUUGGUGGGGUAGUGGCUUACCAAGGCUUUGACGGGUAGCCGGCCUGAGAGGGUGACCGGCCACAUUGGGCCUGCGAUACGGCCCAGACUCCUACGGGAGGCAGCAGUGGGGAAUCUUGCACAAUGGGCGGAAGCCUGAUGCAGCAACGCCGCGUGCGGGAUGACGGCCUUCGGGUUGUAAACCGCUUUCGCCUGUGACGAAGCGUGAGUGACGGUAAUGGGUAAAGAAGCACCGGCUAACUACGUG
RNAcentral lists this ribosomal RNA (468 nucleotides) under uncultured bacterium. Its description in RNAcentral is "partial 16S ribosomal RNA". It matches the Rfam family "Bacterial small subunit ribosomal RNA", at positions 28 to 507 of the family's 1533-position model. The record is from RNAcentral.